AGAAGAAGUAAGAAAGCAUAAGCAAAACCAGAGGAGAGAAAGAAAAUGGCGGCAAUAGUAUGUUAUGGUCCUCUAAUCGACCUCUCUAAAGCAGCAGGUCACAUCGACGAGUACGUCCAACUCCUCGUUUUUGUUCACAAUAUCACCCCAAUUCAGUACAAGCUAUGGAGGAGAAAAGGUGGAGCAGAGGUCAUAAGGACCGACAUACAGGUGGCUGACGAUACCCGUCCAUUUUUUCCUGUUACAAUAUGGAACAAGCAAUUGGCCUCCACAUUGGUUGCUGGAGAUAUCGUUUUGCUUCAAACUUCUCAAACAUAGUAUGCAGCAUAGAAUUUGUUUGUGGUGUAAUAGUGCUCACUGGUGAACAUAUUAAUCAGCAUUGUUAAAAACUCUUGAAUAUAUGUUAAGAUUACAAGAGUUAGCGGAUUAAUUGAGGCUAGAACUGUACAUUGCUCAACUUUGCAAUGUAUAGUCCAUUCAUACAAGUCAAUUGCUUCUAAAGGUACUCUCUUCUCUCUUUCUCUCUUUCUCUUUCUCUCUCUACAACUCAUAAGGUUCUUCGAUACAUUAUCUUUGGUAGAUAUGAUCAAGCUUUGGAGUAUCAGGAAUACAUGACUAGAUCAAUUGUUGUAGAGGGUGUGACUAGAAUUGAAAAAGAAGUCCUUAAUGUCUGUCUAGCAUUUACUGAUUUCCAGGGGGCAGAGCCCAAGAAGACUGCAUGUUUAGAUGCCAAAUAUAUG
This is an RNA transcript of Solanum tuberosum (potato), 740 nucleotides long. RefSeq lists it as uncharacterized. The transcript is spliced from 5 exons. Lineage: Eukaryota; Viridiplantae; Streptophyta; Magnoliopsida; Solanales; Solanaceae. The record is from RefSeq and is a predicted model, not a curated record.